Molecule: long non-coding RNA, 695 nt
Filed under: Musa acuminata (dwarf banana)
Lineage: Eukaryota; Viridiplantae; Streptophyta; Magnoliopsida; Zingiberales; Musaceae
Description: long non-coding RNA (MACU_LNC006054)
Source: RNAcentral
AACCUUCUUUUCCCUCACUCCACUACAAAGCGCACCCCCCACCUCACCUCUCUCCCUCUCUGUCAUCACCUCCCAUCGAGCCAUCGACACCAUCCAUCCCCAAUGGCCUCCUCACCCAUGCUCAUUGGCCUGACCACAUUUCUCCUCCUCACCGCGUCCGCCCUCUUCGACCAAGCCGAGUCCAAGGUGGCUCCCGGUCCUAAGCCGGCGCCGCUCAACCUCACCGGCAUUCUCGAGAAGGGCGGGCAGUACGGCACCUUCCUUCGCUUGCUGAGAGAGACGCAGGUAGGGGAGCAGAUCGAGAGCCAGCUGAACAACUCCUUCAAUGGCCUCACCAUCUUCGUCCCCACCGACAAUGCCUUCAGCAACCUGAAAGCCGGCACGCUCAACAGCCUGACGACCCAAGAGCAGGUGUCGCUGGUCCUCUACCACGUCCUCCCGAGGUACUACAGCCCAACCACCUUCGAGACCACGAGCAACCCGGUGAACACGCAGGCAUCGGGGAGGAGCGGCGUCUACACCGUCAACAUCACCAGCACCAGCAACCAGGUGAACGUGUCCACCGGGGUCAACGAGACGCCCAUCAACACCAACCUCUACUUGGAAUUCCCGUUGGCGGUGUUCUCGGUGGACAAGGUGUUGCUGCCCGCCGAGCUCUUCGGGGCUAAACCUCCCGCGUCAUCACCGUCUCCGGC